UUGACCUCUGGCCUCAAAUCAGGUAGGACUACCCGCUGAACUUAAC
RNAcentral lists this ribosomal RNA (46 nucleotides) under Fuscopostia leucomallella. Its description in RNAcentral is "Postia leucomallella partial 28S ribosomal RNA". The record is from RNAcentral. Lineage: Eukaryota; Fungi; Basidiomycota; Agaricomycetes; Polyporales; Fomitopsidaceae.